UACGGAGGGUGCAAGCGUUGUCCGGAUUUAUUGGGUUUAAAGGGUGCGUAGGCGGCUUUUUAAGUCAGUGGUGAAAUUUUCCAGCUCAACUGGAAACGUGCCAUUGAUACUGGAAGGCUUGAGUACAGACGAGGUUGGCGGAAUUGAAGGUGUAGCGGUGAAAUGCAUAGAUAUCUGGAGGAAUACCGGUGGCGAAGGCGGCAUCCUGGACCGACAUUGACGCUGAGGAGCGAAAGCUAGGGGAGCAAACGGG
RNAcentral lists this ribosomal RNA (253 nucleotides) under uncultured bacterium. RNAcentral describes it as "partial 16S ribosomal RNA". It matches the Rfam family "Bacterial small subunit ribosomal RNA", at positions 524 to 776 of the family's 1533-position model. The record is from RNAcentral.